Molecule: ribosomal RNA, 351 nt
Filed under: Triticum aestivum (bread wheat)
Lineage: Eukaryota; Viridiplantae; Streptophyta; Magnoliopsida; Poales; Poaceae
Description: partial small subunit ribosomal RNA
Source: RNAcentral
AUGGCGGAGGAACCGUCCGCCAAGCGUCAUCAUGCCGAGACGUCGGACAAGAGGAGCAACCUCGUCGACAUUAAAGUCCCCGGCGAGAAGCGCAACUACACCAGAACGCUCGAAGGGGUUGAGCUCCACGGCAAGGAGACGCUGGAGAUCAUCUGCACCAGCGAACCAGACAAGGCCGACGAGGUGAUCUCCAGGAUGUGGAUGAAGCUUGGCGGCACGUUUCGUAGGAUCGUCGGCGUUGGUGUGCACUACACCAACGAAGAUGAACCUCCCCAGAUGGCGGCAGUCCUGCAGUUGUGCGUCGACGAACUCUGCUUGGUGUACCACAUCGCCGCGGACACAAAAUGGUGA